CUUAAGUCAAGAACCAAAUGAAGCACCAGAGUACAGAUUAUGGAGCAGGUUCCUUGUAAAGAUUAACCCAGGGAAGGAUCGAAAGUGGAGAAGACCAGAUCAAGAAAGACUACAUCAAGAUCUGCGGUCAGUUCAAAGGAUGUUUUGCAUUGGACUGUUUUUUUUGGCUUUGACCCUUGCUUGCCCCUGACCUCACUCUUGGACUGCCCUGUUGGAUUUUCAGUUUAUUUAAUUAAAAAAAAAUUUUUUGGUUCUGGGUAGAUGCUAAUAAAUAUUUAAUUGUAAUUAUUU
RNAcentral lists this long non-coding RNA (291 nucleotides) under Danio rerio (zebrafish). RNAcentral describes it as "lncRNA si:dkeyp-9a1.2 (ENSDARG00000098050.3)". The record is from RNAcentral. Lineage: Eukaryota; Metazoa; Chordata; Actinopteri; Cypriniformes; Danionidae.